RNAcentral lists this small RNA (40 nucleotides) under Arabidopsis thaliana (thale cress). RNAcentral describes it as "ATSL011020". The record is from RNAcentral. Lineage: Eukaryota; Viridiplantae; Streptophyta; Magnoliopsida; Brassicales; Brassicaceae.
AAUUCUGAUCCAGUUCAUGUUGCAUUGCUUUUGUGACACA